This 72-nucleotide transfer RNA is filed under the name Cyttopsis rosea (rosy dory). Its description in RNAcentral is "tRNA-Val". The record is from RNAcentral. Lineage: Eukaryota; Metazoa; Chordata; Actinopteri; Zeiformes; Parazenidae.
CAGAGCGUAACAUAACACCUAAUGUGUCUCUUUUACACCGUGAAAAUGUCUGUGAAAAUCAGGCCUCUCUGA